GACGAACGCUGGCGGCGUGCUUAACACAUGCAAGUCGAACGGAAAGGCCCUGCUUGCAGGGUACUCGAGUGGCGAACGGGUGAGUAACGCGUGGGUGAUCUGCCCUUCACUUCGGGAUAAGCCUGGGAAACUGGGUCUAAUACCGGAUAGGAGCCAUUUUUAGUGUGAUGGUUGGAAAGUUUUUUCGGUGUAGGAUGAGCUCGCGGCCUAUCAGCUUGUUGGUGGGGUAAUGGCCUACCAAGGCGGCGACGGGUAGCCGGCCUGAGAGGGUGGACGGCCACAUUGGGACUGAGAUACGGCCCAGACUCCUACGGGAGGCAGCAGUGGGGAAUAUUGCACAAUGGGCGCAAGCCUGAUGCAGCGACGCCGCGUGGGGGAUGACGGCCUUCGGGUUGUAAACUCCUUUCGCUAGGGACGAAGCUUUUUGUGACGGUACCUAGAUAAGAAGCACCGGCUAACUACGUG
Molecule: ribosomal RNA, 465 nt
Filed under: uncultured bacterium
Lineage: Bacteria
Description: partial 16S ribosomal RNA
Rfam family: Bacterial small subunit ribosomal RNA
Source: RNAcentral